GUGAAUCAUCAAAUUUUUGAACGCAAAUUGCACUCUCUGGUAUUCCGGAGAGUAUGCCUGUUUGAGGGUCAGUUUAAUUAAAAAUCGGUGUGGUUGCCGCCUUUCGUGGUGACGCACCGGAUUUGGGUCGUCUUGCUUUCGGUUAAGUGACUUAAAAUUUUGCAUGAAUUUUUUCGAACGUAUUUAAAUGUUUAUAUGUACAUUUGCGAUAUCGACUACUUGGUUUGGUCAUCCCCA
RNAcentral lists this unclassified non-coding RNA (237 nucleotides) under Glomeraceae sp. Its description in RNAcentral is "partial contains 5.8S ribosomal RNA and internal transcribed spacer 2". The stretch from base 1 to 71 matches the Rfam family "5.8S ribosomal RNA", at positions 84 to 154 of the family's 154-position model. Lineage: Eukaryota; Fungi; Glomeromycota; Glomeromycetes; Glomerales; Glomeraceae. The record is from RNAcentral.